This 77-nucleotide small RNA is filed under the name Arabidopsis thaliana (thale cress). Its description in RNAcentral is "ATSL129280". The record is from RNAcentral. Lineage: Eukaryota; Viridiplantae; Streptophyta; Magnoliopsida; Brassicales; Brassicaceae.
GACCUGCUGGUUAUUCAUGUCCUCAUAGCCGAUGUUUACUUCAUUUGCCAAUACCUAUAGAUAUGCUCGUCGAGUGA